AUGAACGCUGGCGGCGUGCCUCAUCCCUGCCAGUCGCGCGAACAGACGAGGAGCUUGCUCCUCUGACGUUAGCGGCGGACGGGUGAGUAACACGUGGAUAACCUACCUAUAAGACUGGGAUAACUUCGGGAAACCGGAGCUAAUACCGGAUAAUAUAUUGAACCGCAUGGUUCAAUAGUGAAAGACGGUUUUGCUGUCACUUAUAGAUGGAUCCGCGCCGCAUUAGCUAGUUGGUAAGGUAACGGCUUACCAAGGCAACGAUGCGUAGCCGACCUGAGAGGGUGAUCGGCCACACUGGAACUGAGACACGUUCCAGACUCCUACGGGAGGCAGCAGUAGGGAAUCUUCCGCAAUGGGCGAAAGCCUGACGGAGCAACGCCGCGUGAGUGAUGAAGGUCUUCGGAUCGUAAAACUCUGUUAUUAGGGAAGAACAAAUGUGUAAGUAACUAUGCACGUCUUGACGGUACCUAAUCAGAAAGCCACGGCUAACUACGU
RNAcentral lists this ribosomal RNA (495 nucleotides) under uncultured bacterium. RNAcentral describes it as "partial 16S ribosomal RNA". It matches the Rfam family "Bacterial small subunit ribosomal RNA", at positions 29 to 506 of the family's 1533-position model. The record is from RNAcentral.